GGCUGAUCCCGGCUCCGGAUCCAGGCCGCGCUUUGCAGCGCGCCGCGCGGGAGCGCAGCCUCCUCACCCGGAGCGGGAUCAACCAUUUUUCAUCCUCCCGGCGUGACAGACCCCUCCAGAGGAACCACUUUAGGCGCACACAAACAGCCGGCACAUUCCUGCAGCCCUCUCCGGAGCAUCCCACACCGCCCUGCUCCCCGCAUCCCGCUCCGCUCGCACCGGGGCGGGAACGCCGGCAUCCAUCAUCCCUGGGGAUGCUGCUGCUGCUGCAGCUCUUCCUACGGGCACUAAGUGGUACUCCAAGGUUGCUCUGCUGCUACUCAUCACAACUUACCACCCUGCAACUUCUUGUAAGGCUUCCUGUAAACAGGACGAGCUGUUUUGCAGCCACUGGUGCAAAGCCCACCAUCACCUGGUGGUCCUGCCAUCCCCCUUCCCCGCGGACAGACACACUACAGGAAUCUGCUUUAACAGCGGGAGCAGAGCAGGAUGCACAGGCUCCACAAACACCGGGCUCUGCAGGCUGGCAGCCUCUCCGAGGGCUGGGGAACAGGGCUUACACCCUCCGUUCGUCCCACACCGUUCCAGCACUGCAAACUGCUCCGUGACCCUCUGCCAAGGUCACCGAACCCAGAGGAUUGUGCCUGACAAAUGUCCUGCUGUCCCUCCAGUGUGGCCACACUGGAAAGUAGAACCAUGGAAUUCCUCCAUCUCAUGCAGCCAGGAAAAGGCACCUCUGCCAUUUCCCACGCAGGGUAAGCUCUCCACCAGAAUUUAAAGGUUCACAGUUCUCAGCAAUGAGAAUUUCUUUUCAAUCAGUGAAACACAGGUGUCUCAAACGCAUCCUCAGAAAGCCUCCAGCAAAGCUGGUGUGCUCAGAGGGAGUGCAGAGGGAGCUCUCUGAACGCUCCAUCCACUGAUGCCCACCCUGAAGAUGUUCUGGAGCUGAGUUUCACAUCCCCAGCACUCACUGCCUGCUCUCCAUCAACAACUGCAGCGGUGACCCC
Molecule: long non-coding RNA, 1007 nt
Filed under: Junco hyemalis (dark-eyed junco)
Lineage: Eukaryota; Metazoa; Chordata; Aves; Passeriformes; Passerellidae
Description: lncRNA (ENSJHYG00000016119.1)
Source: RNAcentral